CCUACGGGAAGCUGCAGUGGGGAAUAUUGGACAAUGGGGGCAACCCUGAUCCAGCCAUGCCGCGUGUGUGAAGAAGGCCCUCGGGUUGUAAAGCACUUUCAGUGAGGAAGAACGCCUGGUGGUUAAUACCCAUCAGGAAAGACAUCACUCACAGAAGAAGCACCGGCUAACUCCGUGCCAGCAGCCGCGGUAAUACGGAGGGUGCGAGCGUUAAUCGGAAUUACUGGGCGUAAAGCGCGCGUAGGUGGCUUGAUAAGCCGGUUGUGAAAGCCCCGGGCUCAACCUGGGAACGGCAUCCGGAACUGUCAAGCUAGAGUGCAGGAGAGGAAGGUAGAAUUCCCGGUGUAGCGGUGAAAUGCGUAGAGAUCGGGAGGAAUACCAGUGGCGAAGGCGGCCUUCUGGACUGACACUGACACUGAGGUGCGAAAGCGAGGGUAGCAAACAGGAUUAGAUACCCUUGUAGUC
This 465-nucleotide ribosomal RNA is filed under the name Vreelandella stevensii. RNAcentral describes it as "partial 16S ribosomal RNA". It matches the Rfam family "Bacterial small subunit ribosomal RNA", at positions 338 to 795 of the family's 1533-position model. Lineage: Bacteria; Pseudomonadati; Pseudomonadota; Gammaproteobacteria; Oceanospirillales; Halomonadaceae. The record is from RNAcentral.